GAGCGGCCGUAGCAAUACGGCAGCGGCAGACGGGAGAGUAACACGUGGGAACGCGCCCUUCGGUUCGGAAUAACUCAGGGAAACUUGGGCUAAUACCGGAUACGCCCUUACGGGGAAAGAUUUAUUGCCGAAGGAACGGCCCGCGUCCGAUUAGCUUGUUGGUGAGGUAACGGCUCACCAAGGCGACGAUCGGUAGCUGGUCUGAGAGGAUGACCAGCCUCACUGGGACUGAGACACGGCCCAGACUCCUACGGGAGGCAGCAGUGGGGAAUAUUGGACAAUGGGCGCAAGCCUGAUCCAGCCAUGCCGCGUGAGUGAUGAAGGCCCUAGGGUUGUAAAGCUCUUUCAGCGGGGAAGAUAAUGACGGUACCCGCAGAAGAAGCCCCGGCUAACUUCGUG
This 399-nucleotide ribosomal RNA is filed under the name uncultured bacterium. RNAcentral describes it as "bacterial SSU rRNA". It matches the Rfam family "Bacterial small subunit ribosomal RNA", at positions 64 to 507 of the family's 1533-position model. The record is from RNAcentral.